This is a non-coding RNA of Rattus norvegicus (Norway rat), 2444 nucleotides long. NCBI's taxonomy places the organism in Eukaryota, Metazoa, Chordata, Mammalia, Rodentia, Muridae. The record is from RefSeq and is a predicted model, not a curated record.
UUGUUCAGUGUUUUUUUAAUAUAUAUUUUGACAGUUUCACACAUAUAUACACAAUGUGCCUCGAUCAUCUCAGCCCCCAGCUCAUUCUUCCCGCCCCCUGCCCUCCAUGGCCUCUCCCAACUGCCUUCUGUGUGUAUGUAAGCUUUGUAUCCCAGAAAGGACGUUAGUACUACCUCCUACAUUGUUUAUUGAUAUUGCUUGAUCUGCAGGGACUACGGGGUUUGGUUUUUACCUCUUGGGUUGAAAACUUUACGUUUUCAUUUAUUUUACAACCUUUCCUUUUGGCCUAUAUUUUUUGAAGUAUAUCUUUGACCAACAUUCUGUAAAAUUUGAAGUUUAUAUUUUUAUUGUUUAAUUUCUAAGUAGCUAUUAGGGGGACAAGAGCUAAACAAGCCACUUUUCUUUAGGGAUGUGGUUGCUGGUAGGUAGCCAAAACCUUAGUGUAUGGCUCAGACACAGGAGAAAUUGGAACCAGUGGCAUAUUAAUUUUAAAUAGAAACCAUGAAUUCAGGAAUAAAAUGGUUGGAGGUCCUGGGAGGGGGUUGUUAACAGGAGGGAGAAGAGGUAAAUAUUAUCCAAUAUACAUGUGUAAACUCUGCAAAGAAAAACAUUGUUAUAAAACAAAGAUAAGAGUUCCCUCAUCACUGGGAAAGAGUAAAGAUCACUGAGGUUCGAUGGCCAGUCAUUCUCACCUAAUCCGUGAGCUCUAGGUUCACUGAGAGACCCUGUCUCAAAACAAAAACCUCACAAAAACGCAGUGAAAUGAUGAAUACACCUAGAUUAACCCUUAGCUUCUAAGUGCAUGAGUACACAUCUAUAUACACAACCUCCUCCCCAAGAGAAAAGUCAAGUCUAGUCACAGAGAAAGACAGGAGAUAGUGUGUGAAAUAGAGACAGGAGAUGGGGCAGUGAGAGCUGACCAUAAUUCGAGGCUGGGAAACUCCUGGGUAGGCGCGGAAACACCAAGAGGUACUUGAAGGUUGAGGCAGACUAUACACACCACAGUCGAUGCACUAGGAGUAGGGGUGGGGGGCAAAGGCAAGUGGCACUCUGUAAAUUUGAGAGGACCCUUACCUACAGAGCAAGGAGUAAGUAAGAUUAGGUCUGAAAAAACAAACAAACAAACAACAACAAAAAAAAACCCAAAACCAAACACUUCCCCCCCCAAUCCUGAAUUUGAUAGAAAGCAACGAUACAGCGUUUUCAGUCUCUAUGCGCUCAGUUUUAGUUCCUUAAUCUAAGUCUGGGAGGAUGCUCGUGCCAAAUGUUCUCUCUGCCUUUUUCUGAGUUCACACUUAAAAGAGUCGCUUCUGGUGAGUGAUCCCCACACCCCUGCCCAACUCUAGGGUAGAAGAACUCCCUCCUUUAUUCCCCAUGAGCGUCCUCUUGACCCUGCAUCCCAGUAUGGCUUCUCCAGGAGGAGAAUUAACGAGCAAUUAACGAGUCUGUGGUUAAGUGGGGUGAUCUGCUUGGGAGUCAUGUCUUCUAAAAUAACAGGACAAGGGGGCUGAGAAGUGUGGGGAAGCGGCCCUCGGUGUUCGAAAAAGCAUCAGAACUCCAGGUUGAGGAAGAGACUCCAGGAGGGUCACACAGUGAGGGGACCAUUGUGAAGGGUAUGGGUAGAGUCUAGUCAGGCCAUCCCUUCUAAUAUUAUUAUAGUGUAUAAGGAUUCUCCCCCACCCCCACCCCUCAUCAAGUCCCUAGGCUGCAUGUAAAUCUACCUGAUUGUACUAUUCCUGUCCUCCUGCCCAAGCCUCAUAAGUCCCAACGCUGGUGGAAACAACUGCUCCAACAUACUGGCCUGGUGGUCCCACCUUCUAUUUCUGGUGAGGGUACUGCUGCCCUCAUUGGCCCAGCUGAAGUGAUUGACGUGUGAAUAGCUCAAUGAACUAUGACUCUUAGAAGCACCCACCCCACCCUCCACCCUGUGGCAGUUAUAGACUGAUGCUCUCCUCGCGAGACUUCAGAGUAACGAGGUCUUUGGGAAGAAUCUCUCCAACCGUUUUUCGUUUUUGUUUUUUUCUUUCCAAAACUCAAAGCCAAGUAUCUUUAGUAAAAGGUGGAGGAUAUUUUAGUCUCCCCCAAAACGAACACACGGUAGCUUAAAAGUACAAAUGACCUCUCAUAAGGGAUUACAGGAUGUCAUAUUGAAUGAGCUACCUAAGAUAUUGGACAUGGAGUGACAUGGAGCCUGAUGGAAUAUGGCCGGGGCGAAUCACACAGCCACAGUCAUCUAUUGUCCCACCACCCUGCACACACUCCCAUUGGACAUGAGUGUUAUGAGAGGCGCAUCACAUCAACAGAAUUUCCCCAUGGCUUCUGGUUCUUAGUCAUCCAAUCAAAACAGGUGACUUGAGUGUGGGAUGACACUGUGAUGGGGCAACCACCUGGACAGAUGUCUCAACACCUGUUGUCUUGUUGUUGGUAAAACCUCCUGGGAAAGC